GCUACGGGUGGCAGCAGUGAGGAAUAUUGGGCAAUGGACGAGAGUCUGAACCAGCCAAGUAGCGUGAAGGAUGACUGCCCUAUGGGUUGUAAACUUCUUUUAUAUGGGAAUAAAAUGUUCCACGUGUGGGAUUUUGCAUGUACCUUAUGAAUAAGGAUCGGCUAACUCCGUGCCAGCAGCCGCGGUAAUACGGAGGAUCCGAGCGUUAUCCGGAUUUAUUGGGGUUAAAGGGUGCGUAGGUGGUUUGUUAAGUCAGUUGUGAAAGUUUGCGGCUCAACCGUAAAAUUGCAGUUGAAACUGGCAGUCUUGAGUACAGUAGAGGUAGGCGGAAUUCGUGGUGUAGCGGUGAAAUGCUUAGAUAUCACGUAGAACUCCGAUUGCGAAGGCAGUUCACUGGACUGCAACUGACACUGAGGCACGAAAGUGUGGGUAGCAAACAGGAUUAGAUACCCUAGUAGUC
This 460-nucleotide ribosomal RNA is filed under the name uncultured bacterium. Its description in RNAcentral is "partial 16S ribosomal RNA". It matches the Rfam family "Bacterial small subunit ribosomal RNA", at positions 338 to 795 of the family's 1533-position model. The record is from RNAcentral.